Oreochromis aureus is the source of this 363-nucleotide long non-coding RNA. RefSeq lists it as uncharacterized. NCBI's taxonomy places the organism in Eukaryota, Metazoa, Chordata, Actinopteri, Cichliformes, Cichlidae. The transcript has 3 exons. The record is from RefSeq and is a predicted model, not a curated record.
GGCUAACGUCAUUAGAAGGGGCGGGGCUCCAGCUGGCUCCCGAGAUGACGCUAACGUCUCUGCGUGUUUCCUUCUUUCUACGGCUCCUCCUUCCUGAACUUGGUGUUUGUGACUGAUGCUGAUCGUUUCCAUGUGAAGCUGGUGCGGACCGUUUGACCAAGUCUAAUCUCAACACAGAAGUUCAUACUUCCCUAAUUCUAGUUCUUAUAAGUUCGCUCGGGAAUGCAGACUUCCGAGGACACAACGCGGUAGCUCAGCAGUAAAGGGAGUAAAGGGAGUGUACAGGAUGACGUCAAAGGUGAAGGUAGAAAGUGUGUGUGAGCUGAUGUGAAUUGAGCAGCAUGGAUCAGUGUGAGGACAGAG